RNAcentral lists this ribosomal RNA (807 nucleotides) under uncultured bacterium. RNAcentral's name for it is "bacterial SSU rRNA". It matches the Rfam family "Bacterial small subunit ribosomal RNA", at positions 8 to 796 of the family's 1533-position model. The record is from RNAcentral.
AGAGUUUGAUCAUGGCUCAGGACGAACGCUGGCGGCGUGCCUAAUACAUGCAAGUCGAGCGGAUGAUGAAGAAGCUUGCUUCUUCUGAUUUAGCGGCGGACGGGUGAGUAACACGUGGGCAACCUACCUUGUAGAUUGGGAUAACUCCGGGAAACCGGGGCUAAUACCGAAUAAUCCAUUCUCUCUCAUGAGAAAAUGUUAAAAGACGGUUUCGGCUGUCACUACGAGAUGGGCCCGCGGCGCAUUAGCUAGUUGGUAGGGUAACGGCCUACCAAGGCGACGAUGCGUAGCCGACCUGAGAGGGUGAUCGGCCACACUGGGACUGAGACACGGCCCAGACUCCUACGGGAGGCAGCAGUAGGGAAUCUUCCACAAUGGACGAAAGUCUGAUGGAGCAACGCCGCGUGAGUGAAGAAGGUUUUCGGAUCGUAAAACUCUGUUGUAAGGGAAGAACAAGUACGAGAGUAACUGCUCGUACCUUGACGGUACCUUAUUAGAAAGCCACGGCUAACUACGUGCCAGCAGCCGCGGUAAUACGUAGGUGGCAAGCGUUGUCCGGAAUUAUUGGGCGUAAAGCGCGCGCAGGCGGUCCUUUAAGUCUGAUGUGAAAGCCCACGGCUCAACCGUGGAAGGUCAUUGGAAACUGGGGGACUUGAGUACAGAAGAGGAAAGCGGAAUUCCAAGUGUAGCGGUGAAAUGCGUAGAGAUUUGGAGGAACACCAGUGGCGAAGGCGGCUUUCUGGUCUGUAACUGACGCUGAGGCGCGAAAGCGUGGGGAGCAAACAGGAUUAGAUACCCUAGUAGUCC